Molecule: ribosomal RNA, 262 nt
Filed under: uncultured bacterium
Lineage: Bacteria
Description: partial 16S ribosomal RNA
Rfam family: Bacterial small subunit ribosomal RNA
Source: RNAcentral
GUCCACGCCCUAAACGAUGUCAACUAGUUGUUGGUAUAGUAAAUCUAUGAGUAACGCAGCUAACGCGUGAAGUUGACCGCCUGGGGAGUACGAUCGCAAGAUUAAACUCAAAUGAAUUGACGGGGCCCGCACAAGCGGUGGAUUAUGUGGAUUAAUUCGAUGCAACGCGAAAACCUUACCUGGCCUUGACAUGUACCGAAUUUGGGAGAGAUUCCUUAGUGCUCGAAAGAGAACGGUAACACAGGUGCUGCAUGGCUGUCGU